RNAcentral lists this ribosomal RNA (306 nucleotides) under Candidatus Midichloria sp. D29. RNAcentral describes it as "bacterial SSU rRNA". It matches the Rfam family "Bacterial small subunit ribosomal RNA", at positions 473 to 778 of the family's 1533-position model. The record is from RNAcentral. Lineage: Bacteria; Pseudomonadati; Pseudomonadota; Alphaproteobacteria; Rickettsiales; Candidatus Midichloriaceae.
UGGUACCCACAGAAGAAGUCCCGGCUAACUUCGUGCCAGCAGCCGCGGUAAUACGAAGGGGGCUAGCGUUACUCGGAAUUAUUGGGCGUAAAGCGUGCGUAGGCUGCUUAGUAAGUCAAAAGUGAAAGCCUUGGGCUCAACCUAAGAAUUGCUUUUGAAACUACCAAGCUUGAGUACUGUAGGGGAUAGCGGAAUUCCUAGUGUAGGGGUGAAAUUCGUAGAUAUUAGGAGGAACACCGGAGGCGAAAGCGGUUAUCUGGACAGUUACUGACGCUGUUGCACGAAAGCGUGGGGAGCAAACAGGAU